Molecule: ribosomal RNA, 1017 nt
Filed under: uncultured bacterium
Lineage: Bacteria
Description: bacterial SSU rRNA
Rfam family: Bacterial small subunit ribosomal RNA
Source: RNAcentral
UGAGGAAUAUUGGUCAAUGGACGCGAGUCUGAACCAGCCAAGUAGCGUGAAGGAUGACUGCCCUAUGGGUUGUAAACUUCUUUUAUACGGGAAUAAAGUGGAGUAUGCAUACUCCUUUGUAUGUACCGUAUGAAUAAGGAUCGGCUAACUCCGUGCCAGCAGCCGCGGUAAUACGGAGGAUCCGAGCGUUAUCCGGAUUUAUUGGGUUUAAAGGGAGCGUAGGUGGACAGUUAAGUCAGUUGUGAAAGUUUGCGGCUCAACCGUAAAAUUGCAGUUGAUACUGGCUGUCUUGAGUACAGUAGAGGUGGGCGGAAUUCGUGGUGUAGCGGUGAAAUGCUUAGAUAUCACGAAGAACUCCGAUUGCGAAGGCAGCUCACUGGACUGCAACUGACACUGAUGCUCGAAAGUGUGGGUAUCAAACAGGAUUAGAUACCCUGGUAGUCCACACGGUAAACGAUGAAUACUCGCUGUUUGCGAUAUACUGCAAGCGGCCAAGCGAAAGCGUUAAGUAUUCCACCUGGGGAGUACGCCGGCAACGGUGAAACUCAAAGGAAUUGACGGGGGCCCGCACAAGCGGAGGAACAUGUGGUUUAAUUCGAUGAUACGCGAGGAACCUUACCCGGGCUUAAAUUGCAGAUGAAUUACGGUGAAAGCCGUAAGCCGCAAGGCAUCUGUGAAGGUGCUGCAUGGUUGUCGUCAGCUCGUGCCGUGAGGUGUCGGCUUAAGUGCCAUAACGAGCGCAACCCUUGUUGUCAGUUACUAACAGGUUCCGCUGAGGACUCUGACAAGACUGCCAUCGUAAGAUGUGAGGAAGGUGGGGAUGACGUCAAAUCAGCACGGCCCUUACGUCCGGGGCUACACACGUGUUACAAUGGGGGGUACAGAAGGCAGCUACCUGGCGACAGGAUGCUAAUCCCCAAAACCUCUCUCAGUUCGGAUUGGAGUCUGCAACCCGACUCCAUGAAGCUGGAUUCGCUAGUAAUCGCGCAUCAGCCACGGCGCGGUGAAUACGUUCCC